Molecule: non-coding RNA, 80 nt
Organism: Mollisiaceae sp. DMI_Dod_QoI
Lineage: Eukaryota; Fungi; Ascomycota; Leotiomycetes; Helotiales; Mollisiaceae
Source: the annotation of a GenBank genome assembly
UCCGGUAUGGUGUAACGGUAACAUAUGGCCUUUUCAAAUAGAAAUCGGCCGAGCCCAGGGUUCGAUUCCCUGUACCGGAG